GUUCCUGUAGUUGAGUGGCAACGAUGGUUUUUCAGACCAUAGACCUUGGAGAGAAGCCAAGCAGGAAUA
RNAcentral lists this transfer RNA (69 nucleotides) under Rhynochetos jubatus (kagu). RNAcentral describes it as "tRNA-Glu". Lineage: Eukaryota; Metazoa; Chordata; Aves; Eurypygiformes; Rhynochetidae. The record is from RNAcentral.